UGGAGCGUGUCCAGAGAAGGGCUACGAAGCUGCUGAAGGGCCUGGGACACAAGUCCUGUGAGGAGCGGCUGAGGGAACUGGGGUUGUUUAAUCUGGGGAAGAGGAGGCUCAGGGGAGACCUCAUUGCUCUCUACAACUGCCUGAAAGGAAGGUGUGGGGGGCUGGGGGUCGGCCUCUUCUCGCAGAUAACUAGUGAUAGGACUAGAGGGAAUGGCCUCAAGUUGUGCCAGGGGAGGUUUAAGUUGGAAAUGAGGAGACAUUUCUUCUCAAAAAGAGCAGUCAGGCAUUGGAACAGGUUGCCCAGGGAAGUGGUGGUGUCACCGUCCCUGGGGUUGUUUAAGGAAAGGUUGGACGUGGUGCUUAGGGACAUGGCUUAGCGGGUGAUAUUGGUGGCAGGGGUAUGGUUGGACCAGAUGAUCUUGGAGGCCUUUUCCAACCUUAUUGAUUUGACGGUUCUGUGAUUCUAUGAUUGCAGCCCGCCAUCACAAGCCUGCUCACUGGGCGCUUCGCUGCAAAGCUGAGUUGGGGACACGUCCAACGGCGGUGCAACACUCCAGGAAGGUAACGCAGAAGGGCCUGACCCUUGAGCCCUGCUGGGAGCACGCUCCCAUGUGGGGCUGAUGAUGGAAAAUAUCAACUUUACCUGCAUGGGGAUGAUCUGCAGAAAGAGUCCAGCAGAGGGAGAGGGACCAGAGUGCAUCCUUCCUCAGCUGCCGCAUCUGCUGGCCUGGGCAGACCACGUGCCCAAAGGGCUUGUCCUUGCCACGGUUUUCACUGCGACAUUUGGGAGUGUUUUUGAAGCAUUAUUGGUUGCCUGCUUCCCCACCUCUCCACUCCCCGUCAUUUAUUCAGCCUCAAGAAACAGUGCUUCUGGAGGGACUGGAGAGGAGACACUUCUUCAAGGAAAGUCCUCAUGCCCAGAACCUUCUGAGCAACAUCACGGAAACACAAUUUUGCUUGAUAACCUGUUAAAUUACAACAACUGUGCAAAGGAUCACAGCACCAACAGAACAUACGCCUGCACCAUGAAGGGUUGCAGGCAGCGCGCACCUGUGACCGUGUGUCCUCCAAAGUCAACGUACACGUGUCCCGGGUGA
Molecule: long non-coding RNA, 1097 nt
Filed under: Anser cygnoides (Swan goose)
Lineage: Eukaryota; Metazoa; Chordata; Aves; Anseriformes; Anatidae
Description: lncRNA (ENSACDG00005013602.1)
Source: RNAcentral